Long non-coding RNA from Dalotia coriaria, 622 nucleotides. RefSeq lists it as uncharacterized. The record is from RefSeq and is a predicted model, not a curated record. The transcript has 2 exons. NCBI's taxonomy places the organism in Eukaryota, Metazoa, Arthropoda, Insecta, Coleoptera, Staphylinidae.
AAUUGUAACAUUUGUGUCAAAAUGUCGGUGUUGUAAGAUUAUCGUGCGGUUAUUCAAUGUUUUUGAUGGAAAUUUUCAAUUAUUUUCAUUUGCCCACCUUGCAAAGCACUAAUAUCUCUCGGGAAGCUGAGAUGGACGCAAAGGUGGGCCAUAUGUUCGUGAGCGUGUGCGUCGGAUACAUCACGAUGUUGAUCAUCACGGCGGCCAUCUUGUGGUAUGUGAUUCACGUGUAUCAACGCAGUUAUGCGCACGCCAUCGCUGAUGAACUCUAUCGGAAAACUUUCAGUCUUGUUCCAAAUUAUGAGAUUUUCUACUCGGAAACAGAUAGUAACACGAGUAUAAUUCGAAGAAAACGUCGAAUAUUGCUUCCAUCCGUUCAAAAUUUCACACAAACUGAAAGUGAGUGUCAAACAGAAGGAAAUUUACAUGUUGAUGCAAUGUACAGUCGAUUGAUGCAAUACAGACUGACUGAUAAAAACAUCGAUAAAUUUUUAUGCGGAUCGAAUAAUCGCAGUAUUCUAUGCGUCAAUUCAUCAGACUACAUGAAGAAAUUUUGAAACAAAUUCACAGUGUACUCGUAACUCACCGCUUGCAAUUUUAAAAAUAAAAAUUUGUAAGUUUA